CUCUCUCUCUCUCUCUCUCUAAAUAUAUAUAUAGAGGUUAGGGUUUUUUUUGUUUGGCAAAUGAAUGAUCAACAGCAGCAGCAGCAGCAAGUGGGCUCGGGGGGAAAUAAGGACCCGGAGGAGGAGAGUGUGGGCCAGUCACUCGAGAUUGUGGCCAAGGCAGCGGGCUCGGACAAGGCCGAGCCAUUAAGUAGCGAGGAAGAGAGUGUAGAGAAACCCGACGAUCCAAUGGAGGAAGACUCCGUUAGCCCCGCUACUGUCUUUUGUAUCAGGCUUAAGCAGCCUCGCUCUAAUUUGCAGUAUAAGAUGAGCGUGCCUGAGCUUUGUCGUAAUUUUAGUGCUGUUGCUUGGUGCGGGAAGUUGAAUGCUAUAGCUUGUGCAUCAGAGACUUGUGCAAGAAUCCCAAGCUCCAAUGCAAACCCUCCAUUUUGGAUCCCCAUACAUAUUGUUAUCCCUGAAAGACCAACUGAAUGUGCAGUUUUCAAUGUGAUAGCAGAUUCUCCUCGUGACUCUGUUCAGUUCAUUGAAUGGUCCCCUACUUCUUGCCCACGUGCCUUACUGAUAGCUAAUUUUCAUGGGAGGAUAACUAUCUGGACUCAGCCUUCUCAAGGUCCAGCUAAUUUAGUGCGAGAUGCUAGCUGUUGGCAGCGUGAGCAUGAAUGGCGUCAGGAUAUUGCAGUUGUUACCAAGUGGUUAUCUGGGGUCUCUCCUUAUAGGUGGCUUUCAUCAAAAUCCAGCAGUUCCUCAAAUUCAAAGUCAACAUUUGAGGAAAAAUUCCUUUCACAUCAAUCUCAAACUUCAGCUAGGUGGCCUAAUUUCCUUUGCGUUUGUUCCGUAUUCUCAUCGGGGUCUGUACAACUUCAUUGGUCCCAGUGGCCUCCUAGUCAGAGUAAUGCAACACCAAAGUGGUUUUGCACAAGCAAGGGACUCUUGGGUGCUGGGCCUAGUGGGAUUAUGGCUGCUGAUGCUAUUGUAACAGAUAGUGGUGCCAUGCACGUUGCAGGUGUUCCUAUUGUAAACCCAUCUACCAUUGUUGUUUGGGAGGUUACUCCUGGCCCUGGACCUGGCUUUCAAGCAACUCCGAAGACAAGUACCAGCGCAGGGCUCCCACCUUCUCUCAACCCACCUAAUUGGUCUGGUUUUGCUCCAUUGGCUGCUUAUCUAUUCAGCUGGCAGGAAUAUCUAAUAUCUGAAGCAAAGCAGGAGAAAAAGCAUACUGAUCAAGAUUUCAGUGACACAGUAUCACUUCACUGCUCACCUGUUUCAAAUUUUUCUGCAUAUGUUAGUCCUGAGGCUGCAGCACAGUCUGCAGCAACCACUACUUGGGGCUCUGGAGUUACCGCUGUUGCUUUUGAUCCAACUCGUGGUGGUUCUGUGAUAGCUGUUGUGAUAGUUGAAGAUAAACAUGCCUAGGCUUUCUCACUUGGGACUAGACGGAAUGAUGUGGGGCCUGAAUUUUGUGUUCAAGGCAGAUGAGACCUUUUCUAUACCUGUUUGUGCAUUUAGAAUCUUUAUAAUUUGUUUCACCUGUGCAGGGCAGUAUAUGUCUCCUUAUGAUCCAGAUGAGGGUCCUUCAAUCACAGGAUGGAGAGUGCAGCGAUGGGAAUCAUCUCUUCAGCCUGUUGUUCUGCAUCAAAUAUUUGGAAAUCCUACUUCCAGCUUUGGUGGGCAGGCACCCAUGCAAACUGUAUGGGUAUCCAAAGUGGAUACAAGCAUACCUCCAACAAAUGAUUUUAAAAAUCAUCAAGCAGUUGCAGCAGGGCCCAUUUCUGAUGCCAGAAAGACAUCUGAUUCUGGUGUUGAGAAGGCAAAAAGUCUCACUUUUGAUCCCUUUGAUCUGCCAAGUGAUGUUAGAUCACUUGCUCGAAUUGUUUAUUCUGCUCAUGGUGGUGAGAUUGCUAUUGCUUUUCUGCGGGGUGGAGUCCAUAUAUUCUCUGGUCCCAACUUUACACCUGUAGACAGCUAUCAGAUUAAUGUUGGAUCUGCAAUUGCCGCUCCUGCUUUCUCUUCCACAAGCUGCUGCUCUGCUUCUGUUUGGCAUGACACUAGCAAGGACCGUACCAUAUUGAAGAUAAUCCGUGUUCUACCCCCUGCUGUUCCAAGUAGUCAGGUGAAGGCUAACUCAUCAACCUGGGAACGUGCAAUUGCUGAGAGGUUUUGGUGGAGCCUUUUGGUUGGAGUUGAUUGGUGGGAUGCUGUUGGCUGUACACAGAGUGCUGCUGAGGACAACAUUGUUUCACUGAACAGUGUCAUUGCGGUGUUGGAUGCGGAUUUUCAUUCUCUUCCAUCAACUCAGCAUCGGCAGCAGUAUGGUCCUAGUCUAGACAGGAUAAAAUGUAGGCUUCUGGAAGGUACAAAUGCUCAGGAGGUCAGGGCAAUGGUUUUAGACAUGCAAGCAAGGUUGCUACUUGAUAUGCUGGGUAAAGGCAUUGAAUCAGCUUUGAUAAAUCCUUCAAAUCUAGUGCCUGAGCCAUGGCUGGCUUCUGGAGAUAAAUUAUCUGGCAUUGAUCCUGAAGCAAUGGCUGUUGAACCAACCCUUGUUCCAAGUAUUCAGGCUUAUGUAGAUGCAAUUCUUGAUCUAGCUUCACAUUUUAUCACACGAUUACGGCGCUAUGCAAGUUUCUGUCGCACAUUAGCAAGUCAUGCAGUUACUGCUGGAACUGGAAGUAAUCGCAGUAUGGUGACGAGUCCUACCCAAAGUUCAGCAUCUCCUGCAACUAGUCAGGGUGGUCAAAAUGGUACUGCAAGUUCUACAGGAAGCACUCAGAUGCAAGCUUGGGUACAAGGUGCUAUUGCCAAGAUUAGUAGUGCAAGUGAUGGAGUGUCCAAUUCAACUCCAAACCCCAUCACUGGUCCAUCUUCCUUUAUGCCAAUAAGCAUCAAUACUGGAACUUUUCCUGGGACACCAGCUGUUAGGCUUAUUGGAGACUGCCAUUUCCUUCACAGAUUAUGUCAACUUUUGCUUUUCUGUUUUUUCUUUCGGCGAACUCAGCUACCUCGCUUUAUUGGAGGUGCACAGAAAAAUACGGAUACAAAUAUGCAAAAACCUCAGUCUGGUCCACCUGCAAAGGUUGAGGAGAGUAAUUCUGUUUCUUCUAAACCAGCUCCAACUAUGGUCAGAUCAGAUGAAGGCCAGGCUGCUGGAGGAGGUCAACUUGUGCCUGGAGCCAAGGGAGUUGAAGAUGGACCUGCUGGCCGGUCAAGACUGGGUUAUGGCAAUGCUGGUCAAGGAUACACUUUUGAAGAGGUGAAGGUCCUUUUCCUCAUACUCAUGGAUCUUUGUCGGCGAACAGUGGCUCUAGCACACCCAUUACCAGUUUCUCAAGUGGGAAGCAGCAGCAUCCAGGUGCGGCUGCAUUAUAUUGAUGGGAAUUAUACUGUAUUACCGGAGGUCGUAGAAGCAUCCCUUGGCCCACAUAUGCAGAACAUGCCCCGGCCUAGAGGUGCAGAUGCUGCUGGUCUGUUGCUGAGGGAAUUGGAACUCCACCCUCCAUCUGAAGAGUGGCACAGGCGGAAUAUGUUUGGUGGCCCCUGGUCUGACCCAGAGGAUAUGGGUUCUGCUGAUGAUACGCCAAGGAUGAGCAGUUAUACAGAUUCUCUUGAUUUCAGCUCAUCGGAAAAUUGUGAUGUUUAUUAUGGGGUUAAUGGCCUAUGGCCAAGGAAGCGCAGAAUGUCUGAAAGAGAUGCAGCUUUUGGCUUAAAUACUUCUGUUGGUCUGGGAGCAUACCUUGGGAUUAUGGGAUCUCGAAGAGAUGUUGUUACUGCAGUGUGGAAGACUGGUCUUGAAGGGGUCUGGUACAAGUGCAUAAGAUGCUUGCGGCAGACUUCAGCUUUUGCUUCAUCAGGGUCUGCAAAUUCACCUAAUCAAAAUGUCAGGGAAGCAUGGUGGAUUAGCCGUUGGGCCUAUGGCUGUCCUAUGUGCGGUGGAACAUGGGUUCGGGUUGUAUAGACGAGAUCACCAUACUUGGAAUUGCAUAUGACUGGCAUCACAAGAAGCAACAAGAAAUUAUAGCAUAGACAUCAUAAGAAGUCCUGCCUUGUGAAUUGUGCUCGGCCAUGCAGUUUAUGGUUGGAGCUUGCAAGUGUGAUAGACCAGUACCAUACCAUGACUGCAGAAAAUUGCUUGUACAGAGUAUAAGACGUAGACGCCGUUAACUUUGUUAGUAUUAGUUGUACUUUUGCCCCUCUCAUUUAGAAAGAAAUGAUUUAACUAGUAUAUUGUGCAUUAUAGAGAAUGGAGGACCUAGCGAGGAUAGCAAGUGUUGGAUGGUUACCGAGAAUGGAAUUGAAGCCAUUUUGCAUUGUACAUCAUGAAAUAAUUUGGCUGAAAUAUCUGAUCUCUAGUACUCGAUUAUGUUGUAGCUUAUUCUAAUGCAAGUUCUCGACUCCUAGUGAUGUAGAGACAAAACGGCUUUGCUUGACCUCUCUCCACUCGUUCUCAGGUGUCUUUCCUCGAAAUGUAAAUCAGUGAUAUACGGCUGACCUGAUGCUUCUCAAUCAUUACUCGAAAUUAAUGCAUUGACCCAACGAGGCUAGGUCACAAAAAUAAGGAGUCCAACUGGUUUGGUCUCACCGAGGGGGUCGUGACAUGCCGUUAUCUUUCAGAAAACGGCACUCUAUUUUGGGUCAUUUAAUUUAUUGAUGGAAAAAACGCUACUGUAUGUUCAAGUAAAUAGUAGAUUCUUAGGUCUGGA
RNAcentral lists this unclassified non-coding RNA (4694 nucleotides) under Hevea brasiliensis (rubber tree). Lineage: Eukaryota; Viridiplantae; Streptophyta; Magnoliopsida; Malpighiales; Euphorbiaceae. The record is from RNAcentral.